This 497-nucleotide ribosomal RNA is filed under the name uncultured bacterium. Its description in RNAcentral is "partial 16S ribosomal RNA". It matches the Rfam family "Bacterial small subunit ribosomal RNA", at positions 28 to 507 of the family's 1533-position model. The record is from RNAcentral.
GAUGAACGCUGGCGGCGUGCCUAAUACAUGCAAGUCGAGCGAACAGACGAGGAGCUUGCUCCUCUGACGUUAGCGGCGGACGGGUGAGUAACACGUGGAUAACCUACCUAUAAGACUGGGAUAACUUCGGGAAACCGGAGCUAAUACCGGAUAAUAUAUUGAACCGCAUGGUUCAAUAGUGAAAGACGGUUUUGCUGUCACUGAUAGAUGGAUCCGCGCCGCAUUAGCUAGUUGGUAAGGUAACGGCUUACCAAGGCAACGAUGCGUAGCCGACCUGAGAGGGUGAUCGGCCACACUGGAACUGAGACACGGUCCAGACUCCUACGGGAGGCAGCAGUAGGGAAUCUUGCGCAAUGGGCGAAAGCUUGACGGAGCAACGCCGCGUGAGUGAUGAAGGUCUUCGGAUCGUAAAACUCUGUUAUUAGGGAAGAACAAAUGUGUAAGUAACUAUGCACGUCUUGACGGUACCUAAUCAGAAAGCCACGGCUAACUACGUG